AGUGAACGCUGGCGGUAGGCCUAACACAUGCAAGUCGAACGGCAGCACAGUAAGAGCUUGCUCUUACGGGUGGCGAGUGGCGGACGGGUGAGGAAUACAUCGGAAUCUACUUUUUCGUGGGGGAUAACGUAGGGAAACUUACGCUAAUACCGCAUACGACCUACGGGUGAAAGCAGGGGAUCUUCGGACCUUGCGCGAUUGAAUGAGCCGAUGUCGGAUUAGCUAGUUGGCGGGGUAAGGCCCACCAAGGCGACGAUCCGUAGCUGGUCUGAGAGGAUGAUCAGCCACACUGGAACUGAGACACGGUCCAGACUCCUACGGGAGGCAGCAGUGGGGAAUAUUGGACAAUGGGCGCAGGCCUGAUCCAGCCAUACCGCGUGGGUGAAGAAGGCCUUCGGGUUGUAAAGCCCUUUUGUUGGGAAAGAAAAGCAGCAGGUUAAUACCCCGCUGUUCUGACGGUACCCAAAGAAUAAGCACCGGCUAACUUCGUG
RNAcentral lists this ribosomal RNA (491 nucleotides) under uncultured bacterium. RNAcentral's name for it is "partial 16S ribosomal RNA". It matches the Rfam family "Bacterial small subunit ribosomal RNA", at positions 29 to 507 of the family's 1533-position model. The record is from RNAcentral.